This 603-nucleotide ribosomal RNA is filed under the name Aroramyces gelatinosporus. Its description in RNAcentral is "eukaryotic LSU rRNA". It matches the Rfam family "Eukaryotic large subunit ribosomal RNA", at positions 65 to 643 of the family's 3401-position model. Lineage: Eukaryota; Fungi; Basidiomycota; Agaricomycetes; Hysterangiales; Hysterangiaceae. The record is from RNAcentral.
CUAACAAGGAUUCCCCUAGUAACGGCGAGUGAAGAGGGAAGAGCUCAAAUUUGUAAUCUGGCGGCCUCGCGGUCGUCCGAGUUGUAGUCUGGAGAAGCGUCUUCCGUGCCGGACCGUGUACAAGUCCCUUGGAACGGGGUGUCGUAGAGGGUGAGAACCCCGUCUUCGACACGGACUGCCGGUGCUCUGCGAUGCGCUCUCGAAGAGUCGAGUUGUUUGGGAAUGCAGCUCAAAACGGGUGGUAAAUUCCAUCUAAAGCUAAAUACGGGCGAAAGACCGAUAGCGAACAAGUACCGUGAGGGAAAGAUGAAAAGAACUUUGGAAAGAGAGUUAAACAGUACGUGAAAUUGUUGAAAGGGAAACGUUCAAAGUCAGUCGCGUCUGUCGGGGCUCAGCCGGGCGUUCGCGUCCGGUGCACUCCUCGACGUGACGGGCCAGCAUCGAUUUYGACCGUCGGAGAAAGGCUCUGGGAAYGUGGCACCUCCGGGUGUGUUAUAGCCCUCUGUCUCAUGCGACGGUCGGGAUCGAGGACCGCAGCGUGCCCUUCGCCGGGCCGGGGUUCGCCCACGUAACGCGCUUAGGAUGCUGGCGUAAUGGCUUUGA